CAGCAGCAGCCUGCUGCUG
Molecule: unclassified non-coding RNA, 19 nt
Filed under: synthetic construct
Source: RNAcentral